This 468-nucleotide ribosomal RNA is filed under the name uncultured bacterium. Its description in RNAcentral is "partial 16S ribosomal RNA". It matches the Rfam family "Bacterial small subunit ribosomal RNA", at positions 28 to 507 of the family's 1533-position model. The record is from RNAcentral.
GACGAACGCUGGCGGCGUGCUUAACACAUGCAAGUCGAACGGAAAGGCCCUGCUUUUGUGGGGUGCUCGGGUGGCGAACGGGUGAGUAACACGUGAGUAACCUGCCCUUGACUUUGGGAUAACUUCAGGAAACUGGGGCUAAUACCGGAUAGGAGCUCCUGCUGCAUGGUGGGGGUUGGAAAGUUUCGGCGGUUGGGGAUGGACUCGCGGCUUAUCAGCUUGUUGGUGGGGUAGUGGCUUACCAAGGCUUUGACGGGUAGCCGGCCUGAGAGGGUGACCGGCCACAUUGGGACUGAGAUACGGCCCAGACUCCUACGGGAGGCAGCAGUGGGGAAUAUUGCACAAUGGGCGGAAGCCUGAUGCAGCAACGCCGCGUGCGGGAUGACGGCCUUCUGGUUGUAAACCGCUUUCGCCUGUGACGAAGCGAGAGUGACGGUAAUGGGUAAAGAAGCACCGGCUAACUACGUG